This is a long non-coding RNA of Carlito syrichta (Philippine tarsier), 436 nucleotides long. RefSeq lists it as uncharacterized. The record is from RefSeq and is a predicted model, not a curated record. NCBI's taxonomy places the organism in Eukaryota, Metazoa, Chordata, Mammalia, Primates, Tarsiidae. The transcript has 2 exons.
AACUGUCAGAGUUAUUUUCCUAAAAUCCAGUUCUGGUCAUGUUGCUUCUCUGCUCAAAGACUCCUUUGGCCUCCUGUUGACCUCCAGUAACCUGUGCUUCAGCCAGUCUGCCUGCUCACUUCCCUGAAUGCUCCUCUACGAUUUCCUGCUUCUCCACCUUUGCUUAUGCUAUAGCUCUGCCUGGAAUGAAUACUACCCCCGACUCAUCUCCAACUGACUGGCAUAGUGGAAAGAGCUUGGGCUCUGGAUCCUUGGCUUCACAACUUACUAUUUGGACAAGUACUUUGAACAAGUAUUUAACCUCUUUGAGCCUCAGUUUCCUGAUCUGUAAAAAUGAAAAUAAUGAUACCUACCUUGCAGGGUUGUUGUAAGGAUUAAAUGAACAUAUGUAUACAGUGCAAUUGACAUAGAGUCAAUAAAUGGCAGAGCACUAUUA